ACUGUUCCAUUGUUCAAAUCAAGCUGGACUUCUUUUCUUGGUUUCCUGAUUGCUCAGUUGUUGCUGCCUAUUGCUUCUCAUCUCUUUUUCUUUUGUAAUUUCCAGGUGCAUGUUCUUAAACUUGUGGAAUAUGAUUCUCAAGUUGGAAAGUGAAAUAGAAGUGGAGGUUUUUAAGCUUCAUAUUGAGUUGUAUGUUUAUAGUGUAGCUCUAUAUUAUGGAUCUCUCUAUUUCAUGCUUUCAUAAAUAAGUCCUUCAUGUGUAACUGAAUGUGCAAUCUGAUGCUAUCUUUUAUUAUAGGGUUUUAAGUGGUUUUAGGUCAGAAACACUCUGGACUUUAUGGAUUACGAGUAAAGGAUCAAUAGUUGAACUCUAUAUUUAAUUAUGUGAAUUGAGUAAUGAGAGGUUGUAUUAGAUUUGCUUGCGUG
RNAcentral lists this long non-coding RNA (426 nucleotides) under Nicotiana benthamiana. RNAcentral's name for it is "long non-coding RNA (NBEN_LNC010803)". The record is from RNAcentral. Lineage: Eukaryota; Viridiplantae; Streptophyta; Magnoliopsida; Solanales; Solanaceae.